Molecule: ribosomal RNA, 541 nt
Filed under: uncultured bacterium
Lineage: Bacteria
Description: partial 16S ribosomal RNA
Rfam family: Bacterial small subunit ribosomal RNA
Source: RNAcentral
AACGAACGCUGGCGGCACGCCUUACACAUGCAAGUCGAACGGAACUGUGGUAGUUUACUACUGCAGUUUAGUGGCGAACGGGUGAGUAACACGUGGGAAUCUACCUCAAAGAGGGGGAUAAAAUACCCCAUAAUUUCUAAUGAGGGUUUCUAACAUUUUUCUUGUUUUAAUUGAUUGUCUAAUACGAGUUUUUCUUGUUUUUGACUUCUUUUAAUCUGAGAGACAUGUUAGAGAUCCUGAAAUUGGAACAAAGAUUUAUCGCUUUGAGAGGAGCCCGCGCCGGAUUAGGUAGUUGGUGAGGUAAUGGCUCACCAAGCCUAUGAUCCGUAGCUGGUCUGAGAGGAUGAUCAGCCACACUGAGAUUGAGAGACGGCUCAGACAUCAUAAGAUGGCAGCAGUGGGGAAUAUUGGACAAUGGGGGAAACCCUGAUCCAGCGAUGCCGCCGUGGAUGAAAAAGGAUUAGUAAUUGAAAAGUCCCUUUCCCUUCGUGAAAAAAAUGGACGUUUGCCGAAAAAAAAAAGUUACCGGCCAACUCUUGGG